UACGUAGGUGGCAAGCGUUGUCCGGAAUUAUUGGGCGUAAAGCGCGCGCAGGCGGUCCUUUAAGUCUGAUGUGAAAGCCCACGGCUCAACCGUGGAGGGUCAUUGGAAACUGGGGGACUUGAGUGCAGAAGAGGAAAGCGGAAUUCCACGUGUAGCGGUGAAAUGCGUAGAGAUGUGGAGGAACACCAGUGGCGAAGGCGGCUUUCUGGUCUGCAACUGACGCUGAGGCGCGAAAGCGUGGGGAGCAAACAGG
This 253-nucleotide ribosomal RNA is filed under the name uncultured bacterium. RNAcentral describes it as "partial 16S ribosomal RNA". It matches the Rfam family "Bacterial small subunit ribosomal RNA", at positions 524 to 776 of the family's 1533-position model. The record is from RNAcentral.